GGAGAGAUGGCAGAGUGGACGAUUGCGCCGGUCUUGAAAACCGGAGUGCUGGUAACGGUACCGGGGGUUCGAAUCCCUCUCUCUCCGCCA
This 90-nucleotide transfer RNA is filed under the name Puniceicoccales bacterium. RNAcentral describes it as "tRNA-Ser". It matches the Rfam family "tRNA". From Rfam's summary of the family: Transfer RNA (tRNA) molecules are approximately 80 nucleotides in length. Their secondary structure includes four short double-helical elements and three loops (D, anti-codon, and T loops). Lineage: Bacteria; Pseudomonadati; Verrucomicrobiota; Opitutia; Puniceicoccales. The record is from RNAcentral.